CAAAAGGCUCUUUUAAGAGCCACCUACAGUUUCACUUGGAGAGCUG
This is a non-coding RNA of Dipodomys ordii (Ord's kangaroo rat), 46 nucleotides long. NCBI's taxonomy places the organism in Eukaryota, Metazoa, Chordata, Mammalia, Rodentia, Heteromyidae. The record is from Rfam.